RNAcentral lists this ribosomal RNA (1342 nucleotides) under Salmonella enterica subsp. enterica serovar Give str. S5-487. RNAcentral describes it as "partial large subunit ribosomal RNA". The record is from RNAcentral. Lineage: Bacteria; Pseudomonadati; Pseudomonadota; Gammaproteobacteria; Enterobacterales; Enterobacteriaceae.
GUAGCCUGAAAGUAUACUGGCGCGAUCCGGAAUUCCGCAUGUUCAUCGGCGUACAGUUGACGCUGGUGGUAAUCUGCACGCUGGUACUGUGGUUCCAUAAUAUCUACGACUCGGCGCUGACAACGCUAAAUCAGGCAUUCUUCCAGGUUGUGUCGAUGGCGACAACGGCAGGGUUUACCACGGACAGUAUUGCGCGCUGGCCGCUGUUUUUGCCCGUCUUGCUGCUAUGUUCCGCGUUUAUUGGCGGUUGCGCCGGGUCAACGGGCGGGGGGUUAAAGGUCAUCCGUAUUCUGUUGUUGUUUAAACAGGGGAACCGCGAACUCAAACGUCUGGUGCAUCCGAAUGCCGUUUACAGUAUUAAGCUGGGGAACCGGGCGCUGCCAGAACGCAUUCUGGAAGCCGUCUGGGGAUUCUUUUCUGCCUACGCGCUGGUAUUUAUCGUCAGUAUGCUGGCUAUUAUCGCUACAGGCGUAGAUGAUUUCUCGGCUUUCGCCUCGGUAGUGGCUACGCUUAAUAACCUGGGACCGGGGCUGGGGGUGGUUGCUGAUAACUUCGCCAGUAUGAAUCCGGUUGCGAAAUGGAUACUCAUCGCCAACAUGCUAUUUGGUCGUCUGGAAGUAUUCACUUUGCUGGUACUUUUUACCCCGACUUUCUGGCGUGAAUAAUGGAGUAACACGUGAAAACAUUGAUUCUUUUCUCUACCCGGGACGGACAAACGCGCGAAAUUGCCUCUUAUCUGGCUUCUGAACUCAAAGAGAUGGGGAUCUGGGCCGAUGUCGUUAAUCUGCAUCGCGCAGAAGAGCCGGACUGGGAUAGCUAUGAUCGCGUAGUGAUUGGCGCGUCUAUUCGUUAUGGUCAUUACCACAGCGCCUUUCAGGAGUUCGUUAAGAAAUACGCCACGCGGUUGAACGGAAUGCCGAGUGCCUUUUAUUCCGUUAACCUGGUGGCGCGUAAAGCUGAAAAACGGACGCCGCAGACUAACAGCUACGCGCGUAAGUUUUUAAUGAGCUCUCCGUGGCGACCUGACUACUGUGCCGUCAUUGCAGGCGCGCUUCGCUAUCCCCGCUAUCGCUGGUAUGACCGUCUGAUGAUCAAGCUUAUUAUGAAGAUGUCGGGCGGCGAAACGGAUACCAGUAAAGAGGUGGUGUACACCGACUGGGAGCAGGUUACGCACUUUGCCCGUGAAAUAGCCCAUUUAACCAACAAAUCGUCGGCAAAAUAAACGCAAAGAAUAAAAAGUGCGCACUCAGAAAAUUAUUUUAAAUUUCCUCUUGUCAGGCAGAAAUAACUCCCUAUAAUGCGCCACCACUGACACGGAACAACGGCAUACAGGCCGCCGGGU